GGGGCCGUAGUCUAGCCAGGAUAAGGCACCAGCCUCCGGAGUUGGGUAUCCCCGGUUCAAAUCCGGGCGGUCCCGCCA
RNAcentral lists this transfer RNA (78 nucleotides) under Candidatus Thorarchaeota archaeon. Its description in RNAcentral is "tRNA-Arg". It matches the Rfam family "tRNA". Rfam says of the family: Transfer RNA (tRNA) molecules are approximately 80 nucleotides in length. Their secondary structure includes four short double-helical elements and three loops (D, anti-codon, and T loops). Lineage: Archaea; Promethearchaeati; Candidatus Thorarchaeota. The record is from RNAcentral.